This 424-nucleotide ribosomal RNA is filed under the name Fusobacteriota bacterium. RNAcentral's name for it is "Fusobacteria bacterium partial 16S ribosomal RNA". It matches the Rfam family "Bacterial small subunit ribosomal RNA", at positions 355 to 776 of the family's 1533-position model. The record is from RNAcentral. Lineage: Bacteria; Fusobacteriati; Fusobacteriota.
UGAGGAAUAUUGGUCAAUGGGCGAGAGCCUGAACCAGCCAAGUCGCGUGAAGGAAGACAGUCCUAAGGAUUGUAAACUUCUUUUAUACGGGAAUAACGGGCGAUACGAGUAUUGCAUUGAAUGUACCGUAAGAAUAAGCAUCGGCUAACUCCGUGCCAGCAGCCGCGGUAAUACGGAGGAUGCGAGCGUUAUCCAGAUUUAUUGGGUUUAAAGGGUGCGUAGGUUGUUCGGUAAGUCAGCGGUGAAACCUGAGCGCUCAACGUUCAGCCUGCCGUUGAAACUGCCGGGCUUGAGUUCAGUGGCGGCAGGCGGAAUUCGUGGUGUAGCGGUGAAAUGCAUAGAUAUCACGAGGAACUCCGAUUGCGAAGGCAGCUUGCCAUACUGCGACUGACACUGAAGCACGAAGGCGUGGGUAUCAAACAGG